This 346-nucleotide unclassified non-coding RNA is filed under the name soil metagenome. RNAcentral describes it as "partial contains 5.8S ribosomal RNA, internal transcribed spacer 2, and large subunit ribosomal RNA". The stretch from base 1 to 120 matches the Rfam family "5.8S ribosomal RNA", at positions 35 to 154 of the family's 154-position model. The record is from RNAcentral.
GAUGAAGAACGUAGCGAAAUGCGAUAAAUAAUGUGAAUUGCAGAAUUCAGUGAAUCAUCGAGUCUUUGAACGCACAUUGCGCCCCCUGGUAUUCCGGGGGGCAUGCCUGUCCGAGCGUCAUUGCUGCCCUCAAGCACGGCUUGUGUGUUGGGCCCCCGUCCCCCCCUCCCGGGGGACGGGCCCGAAAGGCAGCGGCGGCACCGCGUCCGGUCCUCGAGCGUAUGGGGCUUUGUCACCCGCUCUGUAGGCCCGGCCGGCGCCUGCCGACCACCAUCAAUCUUUUUUCAGGUUGACCUCGGAUCAGGUAGGGAUACCCGCUGAACUUAAGCAUAUCAUAAGCGGAGGA